Molecule: unclassified non-coding RNA, 391 nt
Filed under: soil metagenome
Description: partial contains 5.8S ribosomal RNA, internal transcribed spacer 2, and large subunit ribosomal RNA
Rfam family: 5.8S ribosomal RNA (bases 1-122)
Source: RNAcentral
GAUGAAGAACGUAGCGAAAUGCGAUACUUGGUGUGAAUUGCAGAAUCCCGUGAACCAUCGAGUCUUUGAACGCAAGUUGCGCCCGAAGCCACUAGGCCGAGGGCACGCCUGCCUGGGCGUCACACGUCGUUGCCCCCCCAUCUACUCCUUCGGGAUUGCGGGGGGGCGGAUGAUGGCCUCCCGUGCGCCUAGCCGCGCGGUUGGCAUAAAUACCAAGUCCUCGGCGACGGACGCCACGACAAUCGGUGGUUGCGAAACCUCGGUUGCCCGUCGUGUGCGUUCGUCGCGCAUCGAGGGCUCGAAAAAAUGCUCGGCUUCGGCUCGGCUUUCAACGCGACCCCAGGUCAGGCGGGGUUACCCGCUGAAUUUAAGCAUAUCAAUAAGCGGAGGA